RNAcentral lists this ribosomal RNA (173 nucleotides) under uncultured bacterium. RNAcentral describes it as "partial 16S ribosomal RNA". The record is from RNAcentral.
UGUAGCCUGAUCUGGGCGCAGUCUGAUGCAGCCAUGCCGCGUGAGUGAUGAAGGCCUUAUGGUUGUAAAGCUCUUUUUAUAGGGAAGAAAAUGACGGUACGUGUAUGGGAAUGCCCGGACCGUUCCAUGACAGAACGCCCGACUUUAUGCCAUCCCCCGCGGUAAUAUAAUAA